AAGGAGUUCGAUCAACAUCUGCCAUCAAAAGGGUGAAAUCACGAACUAGCAUUCGUGAGGAGCUGAUCAGACGGGAGCUUCGUGUGGAUGAUCCACAGAGGUCAGACACUUGUGUGGCUGCGACGUGAUGAUCAGAGCCCUUCGAUGGUGAUCAGAUUGCAGUGAUCGACUACCCGCAAAAGGUGAUGUGUUCUGAACACAGUACUGUAAAAGGUUUACUGAUUCAAAUUUGAAUUUCAAAUUUAAAUGCAUGCUGUUGUAUCAUAUUUAGAUCCUAGUGUAGAGUUAAUUAGUAUUAAUUAAUGAGAUUAAUUA
This 315-nucleotide long non-coding RNA is filed under the name Elaeis guineensis (African oil palm). RNAcentral describes it as "long non-coding RNA (EGUI_LNC010616)". The record is from RNAcentral. Lineage: Eukaryota; Viridiplantae; Streptophyta; Magnoliopsida; Arecales; Arecaceae.